RNAcentral lists this ribosomal RNA (433 nucleotides) under uncultured bacterium. Its description in RNAcentral is "partial 16S ribosomal RNA". It matches the Rfam family "Bacterial small subunit ribosomal RNA", at positions 29 to 507 of the family's 1533-position model. The record is from RNAcentral.
AGCGAACGCUGGCGGCAGGCCUAACACAUGCAAGUCGAACGAACUCUUCGGAGUUAGUGGCGGACGGGUGAGUAACACGUGGGAACGUGCCUUUUGGUUCGGAAUAACUCAGGGAAACUUGUGCUAAUACCGAAUGUGCCCUUCGGGGGAAAGAUUUAUCGCCAUUAGAGCGGCCCGCGUCUGAUUAGCUAGUUGGUGAGGUAACGGCUCACCAAGGCGACGAUCAGUAGCUGGUCUGAGAGGAUGACCAGCCACACUGGGACUGAGACACGGCCCAGACUCCUACGGGAGGCAGCAGUGGGGAAUCUUGCGAAAUGGGCGGAAGGCUGACGCAGCCAUGCCGCGUGAAUGAUGAAGGUCUUAGGAUUGUAAAAUUCUUUCACCGGGGACGAUAAUGACGGUACCCGGAGAAGAAGCCCCGGCUAACUUCGUG